Non-coding RNA from Drosophila melanogaster (fruit fly), 317 nucleotides. The record is from Ensembl. NCBI's taxonomy places the organism in Eukaryota, Metazoa, Arthropoda, Insecta, Diptera, Drosophilidae.
AGCUUCAGUCUCAGCAGCUCUCCACGAAUACUUGGCCGUUGCCAAACCGCAGCUAGUUGCAGUUGCAUGUUGCAUGAGCCGGCGAUAUGAUACGUGGCCCAGAGCUGGCCAAAUCUGAACUGAGCCACCUCUUGUCGUCCUGGCAUAAUGAGUGAGUAGCAGAUGGAGCAAUGAGACGCUACAGACAGUUGUCAACAUAAUUUAGGCGCAUGCAAAAUGCCAGCAGCAGAAGCAAGUACAAUCUCCAUUCCCAUUUUAAGCGUUAACCCAUUAGGGCCACAAUCAAAGAUGAAAUAUAACAUAUAUAGUGCACUUCG